CCAAGGGUAUGGCUGUUCGCCAUUUAAAGUGGUACGCGAGCUGGGUUUAGAACGUCGUGAGACAGUUCGGUCCCUAUCUGCCGUGGGCGUUGGAAGAUUGAAGGGGGCUGCUCCUAGUACGAGAGGACCGGAGUGGACGAACCUCUGGUGUUCGGGUUGUGUCGCCAGACGCAUUGCCCGGUAGCUAAGUUCGGAAUCGAUAACCGCUGAAAGCAUCUAAGCGGGAAGCGAGCCCUGAGAUGAGUCUUCCCUGAUACUUUAAGUAUCCUAAAGGGUUGUCGGAGACUACGACGUUGAUAGGUCAGGUGUGUAAGUGCUGUGAGGCAUUGAGCUAACUGAUACUAAUUGCCCGUGAGGCUUAACCAUACAACAC
Molecule: ribosomal RNA, 373 nt
Filed under: Vibrio parahaemolyticus
Lineage: Bacteria; Pseudomonadati; Pseudomonadota; Gammaproteobacteria; Vibrionales; Vibrionaceae
Description: partial 23S ribosomal RNA
Rfam family: Bacterial large subunit ribosomal RNA
Source: RNAcentral